AUACGUAGGGAGCGAGCGUUGUCCGGAAUUACUGGGUGUAAAGGGUGCGUAGGCGGGGAUGCAAGUCAGAUGUGAAAUGUAUGGGCUCAACCCAUGAACUGCAUUUGAAACUGCAACUCUUGAGUGAGGUAGAGGUAAGCGGAAUUCCUAGUGUAGCGGUGAAAUGCGUAGAUAUUAGGAGGAACAUCGGUGGCGAAGGCGGCUUACUGGGCCUUUACUGACGCUGAGGCACGAAAGCGUGGGGAGCAAACAGGAUUAGAUACCCUGGUAGUCCACGCUGUAAACGAUGAUGACUAGGUGUGGGGGGACUGAACCCUUCCGUGCCGCAGUUAACACAAUAAGUCAUCCACCUGGGGAGUACGGCCGCAAGGUUGAAACUCAAAUGAAUUGACGGGG
Molecule: ribosomal RNA, 396 nt
Filed under: uncultured bacterium
Lineage: Bacteria
Description: partial 16S ribosomal RNA
Rfam family: Bacterial small subunit ribosomal RNA
Source: RNAcentral